UACGUAGGGUGCGAGCGUUGUCCGGAAUUAUUGGGCGUAAAGAGCUCGUAGGUGGUUUGUCGCGUUGUUCGUGAAAACCGGGGGCUUAACCCUCGGCGUGCGGUCGAUACGGGCAUCACUGGAGUUCGGCAGGGGAGACUGGAAUUCCUGGUGUAGCGGUGAAAUGCGCAGAUAUCAGGAGGAACACCGGUGGCGAAGGCGGGUCUCUGGGCCGAUACUGACGCUGAGGAGCGAAAGCGUGGGGAGCGAACAGG
Molecule: ribosomal RNA, 254 nt
Filed under: uncultured bacterium
Lineage: Bacteria
Description: partial 16S ribosomal RNA
Rfam family: Bacterial small subunit ribosomal RNA
Source: RNAcentral